Molecule: ribosomal RNA, 253 nt
Filed under: uncultured bacterium
Lineage: Bacteria
Description: partial 16S ribosomal RNA
Rfam family: Bacterial small subunit ribosomal RNA
Source: RNAcentral
UACAGGGGGGGCAAGCGUUGUUCGGAAUUACUGGGCGUAAAGGGCUCGUAGGCGGCCAACUAAGUCCGACGUGAAAUCCCAAGGCUUAACCUUGGAACUGCGUCGGAUACUGGUUGGCUUGAAUUCGGGAGAGGGAUGCGGAAUUCCAGGUGUAGCGGUGAAAUGCGUAGAUAUCUGGAGGAACACCGGUGGCGAAGGCGGCAUCCUGGACCAACACUGACACUGAGGCGCGAAAGCGUGGGUAGCAAACGGG